AGUGAACGCUGGCGGUAGGCCUAACACAUGCAAGUCGAACGGCAGCACAGUAAGAGCUUGCUCUUACGGGUGGCGAGUGGCGGACGGGUGAGGAAUACAUCGGAAUCUACUUUUUCGUGGGGGAUAACGUAGGGAAACUUACGCUAAUACCGCAUACGACCUACGGGUGAAAGCAGGGGAUCUUCGGACCUUGCGCGAUUGAAUGAGCCGAUGUCGGAUUAGCUAGUUGGCGGGGUAAAGGCCCACCAAGGCGACGAUCCGUAGCUGGUUUGAGAGGGUGAUCAGCCACACUGGAACUGAGACACGGUCCAGACUCCUACGGGAGGCAGCAGUGGGGAAUAUUGGACAAUGGGCGCAAGCCUGAUCCAGCCAUACCGCGUGGGUGAAGAAGGCCUUCGGGUUGUAAAGCCCUUUUGUUGGGAAAGAAAAGCAGCAGGUUAAUACCCCGCUGUUCUGACGGUACCCAAAGAAUAAGCACCGGCUAACUUCGUG
This 492-nucleotide ribosomal RNA is filed under the name uncultured bacterium. RNAcentral's name for it is "partial 16S ribosomal RNA". It matches the Rfam family "Bacterial small subunit ribosomal RNA", at positions 29 to 507 of the family's 1533-position model. The record is from RNAcentral.